GAUGAAGAACGUAGUAAAAUGCGAUACGUAAUGUGAAUUGCAGAAUUCAGUGAAUCAUCGAAUCUUUGAACGCACAUUGCGCCCCCUGGUAUUCCGGGGGGCAUGCCUGUUCGAGCGUCAUUUCACCACUCAAGCCUCGCUUGGUAUUGGGCAACGCGGUCCGCCGCGUGCCUCAAAUCGUCCGGCUGGGUCUUCUGUCCCCUAAGCGUUGUGGAAACUAUUCGCUAAAGGGUGUUCGGGAGGCUACGCCGUAAAACAACCCCAUUUCUAAGGUUGACCUCGGAUCAGGUAGGGAUACCCGCUGAACUUAAGCAUAUCAAUAAGCGGAGGA
This 331-nucleotide unclassified non-coding RNA is filed under the name soil metagenome. Its description in RNAcentral is "partial contains 5.8S ribosomal RNA, internal transcribed spacer 2, and large subunit ribosomal RNA". The stretch from base 1 to 120 matches the Rfam family "5.8S ribosomal RNA", at positions 35 to 154 of the family's 154-position model. The record is from RNAcentral.